This 301-nucleotide ribosomal RNA is filed under the name uncultured bacterium. RNAcentral's name for it is "partial 16S ribosomal RNA". It matches the Rfam family "Bacterial small subunit ribosomal RNA", at positions 510 to 808 of the family's 1533-position model. The record is from RNAcentral.
AGUCGCCGCGGGAAUACGAAGGGUGCAAGCGUUACUCGGAAUUACUGGGCGUAAAGCGUGUGUAGGUGGUUGUUUAAGUCUGUCGUGAAAGCCCUGGGCUCAACCUGGGAAUUGCGAUGGAUACUGGGCGACUAGAGUGCGGUAGAGGAUAGUGGAAUUUCCGGUGUAGCAGUGAAAUGCGUAGAGAUCGGAAGGAACAUCUGUGGCGAAGGCGACUAUCUGGGCCAACACUGACACUGAGGCACGAAAGCGUGGGGAGCAAACAGGAUUAGAGACCCGAGUAGUCCCUGUCUCUUAUACA